Pan troglodytes (chimpanzee) is the source of this 117-nucleotide non-coding RNA. It matches the Rfam family "Metazoan signal recognition particle RNA". From Rfam's summary of the family: The signal recognition particle (SRP) is a universally conserved ribonucleoprotein. It is involved in the co-translational targeting of proteins to membranes. Lineage: Eukaryota; Metazoa; Chordata; Mammalia; Primates; Hominidae. The record is from Rfam.
GCCGGGCGUGAUGGCUCACACCUGUAAUCCCAGCACUUUGGGAGGCUGAGACGGGUGGAUCACCUGAGGUCAGGAGUUCGAGACUGGCCUGGCCAAUAUGAUGAAAACCCGUCUCUA